Dreissena polymorpha is the source of this 329-nucleotide long non-coding RNA. RefSeq lists it as uncharacterized. NCBI's taxonomy places the organism in Eukaryota, Metazoa, Mollusca, Bivalvia, Myida, Dreissenidae. The record is from RefSeq and is a predicted model, not a curated record. The transcript has 4 exons.
ACACUUAAAAGCUCAAUGCUUUAACGUUCAAGCACCGAAAUUCGACUGUCCACUUCAACAUCCACACACUGAAUGACGUUGACUUUACACAGCGACUGUUCCAAAAAUGUUUGGAUAAGUCGAAAACCAAGGAAAAAACUACCGCAACAUCUGUUCCAUCAGCCUCAACAGCCAGUGACAGAAGCAGAAAGAGGACUCUCAAAGAUGCCCAACUAGAGGCCCUGGAAAGCCUAUCAGAGAUGAGCAGGGCGGGGGCAGAAUGUUUUAGGAAAGUGGCCCGUCUUGCAGACUUUCUCAUUGCUAAAUUAGAAAAAAAAUAAAAAAUUAUU